RNAcentral lists this ribosomal RNA (253 nucleotides) under uncultured bacterium. RNAcentral's name for it is "partial 16S ribosomal RNA". It matches the Rfam family "Bacterial small subunit ribosomal RNA", at positions 524 to 776 of the family's 1533-position model. The record is from RNAcentral.
UACGAAGGGGGCUAGCGUUGCUCGGAAUCACUGGGCGUAAAGCGCACGUAGGCGGAUUGCUAAGUCAGGGGUGAAAUCCCGGAGCUCAACUCCGGAACUGCCUUUGAUACUCCCGCGCUGGAGAGCUGGAGGGGACAUCGGAAUUCACGGUGGAGCAGUGAAAUGCGUGGAUAUCGUGAGGAACACUAGUGGCGAAGGCGGAUGUCUGGACAGUAUCUGACGCUGAGGCACGAAGGCCAGGGGAGCGAACGGG